This is a small nuclear RNA of Sorex araneus (European shrew), 162 nucleotides long. Its record names the gene U1. It matches the Rfam family "U1 spliceosomal RNA". Rfam says of the family: U1 is a small nuclear RNA (snRNA) component of the spliceosome (involved in pre-mRNA splicing). NCBI's taxonomy places the organism in Eukaryota, Metazoa, Chordata, Mammalia, Eulipotyphla, Soricidae. The record is from Ensembl.
AUGCUUACCUGGCAGGAGCCAUAUCAUGGUCACGAAGGUGGUUUUCCCAGGGUAAGACUCAUCCAUCGCACUUCUGAUGUGCCGACCCCUGGCGAUUUCCCGAAAUAUGCCAAACUCAUCUACAUAAUUUGUAGUGAGGGAUGGUGCUGGCACUCUCCCCUA